UACGUAGGGUGCGAGCGUUAAUCGGAAUUAUUGGGCGUAAAGGGCACGCAGGCGGUUAUACAAGUCCGAUGUUAAAGACCUGGGCUUAACCCAGGGGAUGCGUUGGAAACUGUAUGACUAGAAUCUUGGAGGGGGAGUCGGAAUUCCUAGUGUAGGGGUGAAAUCUGUUGAUAUUAGGAAGAACACCGGUGGCGAAGGCGGACUCCUGGCCGAAGAUUGACGCUGAGGUGCGAAAGCAUAGGGAGCAAACAGG
This 253-nucleotide ribosomal RNA is filed under the name uncultured bacterium. RNAcentral's name for it is "partial 16S ribosomal RNA". It matches the Rfam family "Bacterial small subunit ribosomal RNA", at positions 524 to 776 of the family's 1533-position model. The record is from RNAcentral.